Molecule: long non-coding RNA, 475 nt
Organism: Triticum aestivum (bread wheat)
Lineage: Eukaryota; Viridiplantae; Streptophyta; Magnoliopsida; Poales; Poaceae
Exons: 2
Source: RefSeq, a predicted model, not a curated record
GGUGAUCAUGGACUCGUCACUCGAUCGAUGCAAAACCGUAUUAGCAGUCGCGUCGGCGGCGGCGACGCGACAGGAAACGGGAUCGUCGCCUACUCGCCUCCGCGGCUUCGUCUCAUCGACUCAUCGGAUCGAUCAGCCGAUGCCGUUGUUGCCUUCCUCUCUCAAGUUUCAGACUUGUCGCAUCGAUCGGCGACCGACUCCAAGUGCUUCACAGCUUCCAUCCUCUAGGUGCUUCACGGAUUCAAAACAGAGAUCGGUUCUCGCCUCCUCCGUUAACAAUCACAGUGUAGCAGUUCAACGGGACAUGACACAAGACUAGGUGAGUUAGACUGUUCGUCUAAUUGUGAAACAUUGACACAUGAUUUUCAAUUGAUAUCUAUGCGUAUCACUACAAUUUUAUUUUAUUCACCUUUUUUGUCUUGUGUUUCAAUAAUACAUAUUUGAGUCAUUAUGAGAAAACAUCAGUCUGGUUUUA